ACGCUGGCGGCGUGCUUAACACAUGCAAGUCGAACGAGAGGACAAGAGAAGCUUGCUUCUUUUGGAAUCGAGUGGCAAACGGGUGAGUAACACGUAAACAACCUGCCUUCAGGAUGGGGACAACAGACGGAAACGACUGCUAAUACCGAAUACGCUUGGGAGACCGCAUGAUCUUCCAAGAAAGGGUGGCCUCUACUUGUAAGCUAUCGCCUGAAGAGGGGUUUGCGUCUGAUUAGGCAGUUGGUGAGGUAACGGCCCACCAAACCUACGAUCAGUAGCCGGUCUGAGAGGAUGAACGGCCACACUGGAACUGAGACACGGUCCAGACUCCUACGGGAGGCAGCAGUGGGGAAUCUUCCGCAAUGGGCGAAAGCCUGACGGAGCAACGCCGCGUGAGUGAUGACGGCCUUCGGGUUGUAAAGCUCUGUGAUCGGGGACGAACGGUCCGUAAGCCAAUACCUUAUGGAAGUGACGGUACCCGAAUAGCAAGCCACGGCUAACUACGUG
Molecule: ribosomal RNA, 507 nt
Filed under: uncultured bacterium
Lineage: Bacteria
Description: bacterial SSU rRNA
Rfam family: Bacterial small subunit ribosomal RNA
Source: RNAcentral